AGGACGAACGCUGGCGGCGUGCUUAACACAUGCAAGUCGAACGGAAAGGCCCGCUUGCGGGUACUCGAGUGGCGAACGGGUGAGUAACACGUGGGCAACCUGCCCUCAGCUUUGGGAUAACUCCCGGAAACGGGUGCUAAUACCGAAUAUUGACAUUGUCUCGCAUGGGGUGGUGUUGAAAGUUUUUUCGGCUGGGGAUGGGCCCGCGGCCUAUCAGCUUGUUGGUGGGGUGAUGGCCUACCAAGGCGACGACGGGUAGCCGGCCUGAGAGGGCGACCGGCCACACUGGAACUGAGACACGGUCCAGACUCCUACGGGAGGCAGCAGUGGGGAAUAUUGCGCAAUGGGCGGAAGCCUGACGCAGCGACGCCGCGUGAGGGAUGACGGUCUUCGGAUUGUAAACCUCUUUCAGCAGGGACGAAGCGAAAGUGACGGUACCUGCAGAAGAAGCACCGGCCAACUACGUGCCAGCAGCCGC
This 478-nucleotide ribosomal RNA is filed under the name uncultured bacterium. RNAcentral's name for it is "SSU rRNA". It matches the Rfam family "Bacterial small subunit ribosomal RNA", at positions 26 to 518 of the family's 1533-position model. The record is from RNAcentral.